This is a long non-coding RNA of Dioscorea cayenensis subsp. rotundata (Guinea yam), 379 nucleotides long. RefSeq lists it as uncharacterized. The record is from RefSeq and is a predicted model, not a curated record. NCBI's taxonomy places the organism in Eukaryota, Viridiplantae, Streptophyta, Magnoliopsida, Dioscoreales, Dioscoreaceae. The transcript has 3 exons.
GUGCAUUCUCUGAGGUUUUUUGAGAGAAAAAGAAAGGGAGAGAGGGCUAUGGGUUAGGGCUUCAACAUCCAUCAAAGGGGAAGCCUUGAAGACAUCCUAGAGCUUCGGAUCCGAGCUUGUGAGCUCAUGAGAAGAAGAAGUGAAGGUUUUCAAACCCUAGCCGCCAUCCUUUGUUUUUUCCGAUAUAGUCUCUCGUUUGAACCAAAAAAGAGAGAGAGAUCUUGCCUCUUUCCUUUUCUUUUUUUCUUUUUGGUGUGUGGUGCCGGCGGCGAGGACGGAGAUAGACCUCUUCGUCAAGGUUAUGUGGUUAUCGUUGGGAGGGUAUUUUGUGGAAGCCUAAUUUCGUGGCGCUUAUAGUUUUGAUGUUAGCUAGUCAGGU